GAUGAACGCUGGCGGCGUGCUUAACACAUGCAAGUCGAGCGAAGCACUUAAGUUUGAUUCUUCGGAUGAAGACUUUUGUGACUGAGCGGCGGACGGGUGAGUAACGCGUGGGUAACCUGCCUCAUACAGGGGGAUAACAGUUAGAAAUGACUGCUAAUACCGCAUAAGACCACAAGGUCGCAUGACCCGGUGGUAAAAACUCCGGUGGUAUGAGAUGGACCCGCGUCUGAUUAGCUAGUUGGUGGGGUAACGGCUCACCAAGGCGACGAUCAGUAGCCGACCUGAGAGGGUGACCGGCCACAUUGGGACUGAGACACGGCCCAAACUCCUACGGGAGGCAGCAGUGGGGAAUAUUGCACAAUGGGGGAAACCCUGAUGCAGCGACGCCGCGUGAAGGAUGAAGUAUUUCGGUAUGUAAACUUCUAUCAGCAGGGAAGAAAAUGACGG
Molecule: ribosomal RNA, 447 nt
Filed under: uncultured bacterium
Lineage: Bacteria
Description: bacterial SSU rRNA
Rfam family: Bacterial small subunit ribosomal RNA
Source: RNAcentral